AAUGUCGUAACAAGGUCUCCGUAGGUGAACCUGCGGAGGGAUCAUUACCGAGUUCAUGCCCUCACGGGUAGAUCUCCCACCCUAUGUUAUAUUACCUCUGUUGCUUUGGCGGGCCGUCAGGCUUCGGUCAGGCUACCGGCUCCGGCUGGUAAGCGCCCGCCAGAGGACCCCAAAGCUCUGAAUGUUAGUGUCGUCUGAGUACUAUCUAAUAGUUAAAAAG
Molecule: unclassified non-coding RNA, 220 nt
Filed under: plant metagenome
Description: partial contains small subunit ribosomal RNA and internal transcribed spacer 1
Rfam family: Eukaryotic small subunit ribosomal RNA (bases 1-47)
Source: RNAcentral